UGGGGAAUAUUGCACAAUGGACGGAAGUUUGAUGCAGCGACGCCGCGUGGAGGGUGUAGGCCUUCGGGUCGUGAACUCCUUUUUCUCGCGAAAAAGGCACAGUUUUGGCUGUGUUGAUGGUAGUGGGGGAAGAAGCGCCGGCUAACUACGUGCCAGCAGCCGCGGUAAUACGUAGGGCGCGAGCGUUGUCCGGAUUUAUUGGGCGUAAAGAGCUCGUAGGUGGUUCGUCGCGUCUGUCGUGAAAGCCAGCAGCUUAACUGUUGGUCUGCGGUGGGUACGGGCGGGCUUGAGUGCGGUAGGGGUGACUGGAAUUCCUGGUGUAGCGGUGGAAUGCGCAGAUAUCAGGAGGAACACCGAUGGCGAAGGCAGGUCACUGGGCCGUUACUGACACUGAGGAGCGAAAGCGUGGGGAGCGAACAGG
Molecule: ribosomal RNA, 421 nt
Filed under: Fusobacteriota bacterium
Lineage: Bacteria; Fusobacteriati; Fusobacteriota
Description: Fusobacteria bacterium partial 16S ribosomal RNA
Rfam family: Bacterial small subunit ribosomal RNA
Source: RNAcentral